AAAGACUCAAUUCUAGACCUAGAAAGUGAUUUGGACGAAAAUAGAACUUCAAAGACUCAAAAGACUUAAAAGAAACAAGUUUUGACUCUAAAAACAAGACUUAAAAGCAAGGAGUUUGGUUUUGACAAAUUUGGACUUUAAAACAUAAACUUUAAAAAUAAACUUAACAAAAACGAUUUUGGAUGAAAAAGAAUGGUGAAAGGCUAGUUAGAGGG
RNAcentral lists this long non-coding RNA (215 nucleotides) under Malus domestica (apple). Its description in RNAcentral is "long non-coding RNA (MDOM_LNC005564)". The record is from RNAcentral. Lineage: Eukaryota; Viridiplantae; Streptophyta; Magnoliopsida; Rosales; Rosaceae.